GAGUUUGAUCAUUGCUCAGAACGAACGCUAUCGGUAUGCUUAACACAUGCAAGUCGAACGGACUAAUUGGGGCUUGCUCCAAUUAGUUAGUGGCAGACGGGUGAGUAACACGUGGGAAUCUGCCCAUCAGUACGGAAUAACUUUUAGAAAUAAAAGCUAAUACCGUAUAUUCUCUACGGAGGAAAGAUUUAUCGCUGAUGGAUGA
This 205-nucleotide ribosomal RNA is filed under the name Rickettsia endosymbiont of Bemisia tabaci. RNAcentral's name for it is "partial 16S ribosomal RNA". It matches the Rfam family "Bacterial small subunit ribosomal RNA", at positions 9 to 228 of the family's 1533-position model. The record is from RNAcentral. Lineage: Bacteria; Pseudomonadati; Pseudomonadota; Alphaproteobacteria; Rickettsiales; Rickettsiaceae.